Molecule: long non-coding RNA, 327 nt
Organism: Hippocampus comes (tiger tail seahorse)
Lineage: Eukaryota; Metazoa; Chordata; Actinopteri; Syngnathiformes; Syngnathidae
Exons: 2
Source: RefSeq, a predicted model, not a curated record
UCCACACUCACAAUCAUUCCAAAGGACAAUUUUAAAGUGAUCAAUUAAACUACCAAGCAUGUUUUUGGAAAGUGGGAGGAAAGCAAAAUACAGAAGGCCGGAGCCCAGAAUUAAAUCCAUGAGCUCUGCACUUCGAGGCGGAAGUGCUAACCCGUCGUUCAUCACUUUUAUGCAUCAUGAAAAUGUAACUGUAAAUGUCAGGUGCAGCUUUCAUUUUUGUCCACUCUUAAGCUUAAUUCUGCCCAACUGCCAACUCCAAUAAAUAUCCAUCUAGUUAAAAAUAAGAAUAGAGGAAGCAGACAUAACGCUGCACUUCCAGCAUUUAAA